This 663-nucleotide ribosomal RNA is filed under the name Intranuclear coccidium JW-2004. Its description in RNAcentral is "SSU rRNA". It matches the Rfam family "Eukaryotic small subunit ribosomal RNA", at positions 13 to 669 of the family's 1831-position model. The record is from RNAcentral. Lineage: Eukaryota; Apicomplexa; Conoidasida.
CCUGCCAGUAGUCAUAUGCUUGUCAUAAAGAUUAAGCCAUGCAUGUCUAAGUAUAAGCUUCUAUACGGUGAAACUGCGAAUGGCUCAUUAAAACAGUUAUAGUUUAUUUGAUGGUCAUUUUUUACAUGGAUAACCGUGGUAAUUCUAUGGCUAAUACAUGCGCACAUGCUUCUUCCUCUGGAAGUGCAGUGUUUAUUAGAUACAAAACCAGCCCACCCCUCGGGGUGGCCCCUAGGUGAGUCAUAGUAACCGAACGAAUCGCAUUUUAUGGCUUCGGCCGGCGAUAGAUCAUUCAAGUUUCUGACCUAUCAGCUUUCGACGGUAGGGUAUUGGCCUACCGUGGCAGUGACGGGUAACGGGGAAUUAGGGUUCGAUUCCGGAGAGGGAGCCUGAGAAACGGCUACCACAUCUAAGGAAGGCAGCAGGCGCGCAAAUUACCCAAUGACAACACUGUUGAGGUAGUGACAUGAAAUAACAAUACAGGGCAUUUUUUGCUUUGUAAUUGGAAUGAUGGGAAUCCAAACCCCUUUCAGAGUAACAAUUGGAGGGCAAGUCUGGUGCCAGCAGCCGCGGUAAUUCCAGCUCCAAUAGCGUAUAUUAAAGUUGUUGCAGUUAAAACGCUCGUAGUUGGAUUUCUGCUGGGGGUCGGUUUGGUCCGCCUCC